Molecule: ribosomal RNA, 255 nt
Filed under: uncultured bacterium
Lineage: Bacteria
Description: partial 16S ribosomal RNA
Rfam family: Bacterial small subunit ribosomal RNA
Source: RNAcentral
UACGGAGGGGGCUAGCGUUGUUCGGAAUCACUGGGCGUAAAGGGCGCGUAGGCGGCCGAUUAAGUCGGGGGUGAAAGCCUGUGGCUCAACCACAGAAUUGCCUUCGAUACUGGUUGGCUUGAGACCGGAAGAGGACAGCGGAACUGCGAGUGUAGAGGUGAAAUUCGUAGAUAUUCGCAAGAACACCAGUGGCGAAGGCGGCUGUCUGGUCCGGUUCUGACGCUGGAGGCGCGAAAGCGGUGGGGAGCAAACAGG